This 468-nucleotide ribosomal RNA is filed under the name uncultured bacterium. Its description in RNAcentral is "bacterial SSU rRNA". It matches the Rfam family "Bacterial small subunit ribosomal RNA", at positions 28 to 498 of the family's 1533-position model. The record is from RNAcentral.
GACGAACGCUGGCGGCGUGCUUAACACAUGCAAGUCGAACGGAGUUCCUUGGAUAGAGGCUUCGGCCAAUUGAAUUGGAACUUAGUGGCGGACUGGUGAGUAACGCGUGAGGAACCUGCCUUUCAGAGGGGGACAACAGUUGGAAACGACUGCUAAUACCGCAUGACACAUGAUCGGGGCAUCCCGGACAUGUCAAAGAUUUUAUCGCUGAAAGAUGGCCUCGCGUCUGAUUAGCUAGUUGGUGGGGUAACGGCCUACCAAGGCGACGAUCAGUAGCCGGACUGAGAGGUUGACCGGCCACAUUGGGACUGAGAUACGGCCCAGACUCCUACGGAGGCAGCAGUGGGGAAUAUUGGGCAAUGGCGAAAGCCUGACCCAGCGACGCCGCGUGAGGGAAGAAGGUCUUCGGAUUGUAAACCUAGUCAACAGGAAGAGUAGAAGACUGUACCUGGCGAAUAAGCCACGGCU